This 22-nucleotide unclassified non-coding RNA is filed under the name Mus musculus (house mouse). Its description in RNAcentral is "oocyte_clustered_small_RNA10713". The record is from RNAcentral. Lineage: Eukaryota; Metazoa; Chordata; Mammalia; Rodentia; Muridae.
UGCAGCAGCUUGCGACUUCCAC